ACGGAUGAAUCAGUAUAUUAUUUGAUAUUCAACAUGUCGCUUAGUGUUAAUAAAAGCUACAAAAUAAUCAGCAGAUGGAUGCACAAAACUCUUACAGAUUGGCAAAUUGUUCUCAAAGCAAAUGGCGCUGAUGUUUUGAUCUAUGAAGAAUACGUUGAUUUCACAACCAAUGUUAAUCAUUUUGAGUUAUUUAUUUUAAUGUUGAGCAAACAUUGCCCAAAUUUGACGCAUGUUCGUUUAUUGUUUUCUGGCGAAAGUAGCGAUUGUUUUGACGGUGGAUUUGUGAGAUCUCUGUUACAAUUGCCAAACCUAAUCUGUUUAAGUCUCUUUGAUACCCCCGCAUCCGAAAUUUUGGCUCUAAAGACUGACUUUAAUCAAUUGACAACUUUAAAAUUAGUUGGAUUCGAUGAAAAUGUGACUGUUAGCGAUUUUUCUAACAUAUUUGGUUCAAUGAAGAAUUUACAAAAUGUGAUAUACGAGUACAAAUCCUUUAGUGAUAAUCAAAUUGUUGCCGCUUUGUCAAAUGUAUCAAAAUUAAAAUCCUUAACUUUGUACUAUGCGCCGGAAAGCAAAUUAAAACAGUUGAAGAAUUGUAACCAACUGGAAAUACUUCAUCUCUACAAUAUUGAUAAUACACUGGGUCCAGAUGAUUUCUUAGAAAUCUUCAAAGCAAAGCGGGACUUACAUACUUUAUCGGUCUACUUUAUAGAUAGCACCUUGUGCAAGCAGUUAUCUCAACUGGAUGCGUAUUGCCCGAAACUAACUUAUCUGACGAUUAAUCAGCAGUUGAAGAACCUUUCUGAUUUUGUAAAUCUAAAAUAUCUAAGAUUUGAUAUGAAUGGUGAAUCGAGCUUACCGAUCUUUGAAACAAAAGAAUUGGUCGACAGUUUAUCCAUAAGAUAUGCUGAUCGACUUGAAAUUUUAGAUAUCAGCAUGGCUUCAAAUCAUGCACAUACGACCGAAAUUUUUAAGCUGAAAUCCCUCAAGGCAUUUUUAUGUUUGUCGUGGCCCAGCAAUAUGUAUCAAUGUCUUACCAAACUAGAAAAUCUUCAGUUUUUCUCUUUUGAAACCUAUUCAGAAAAUGUUGACGACAGCGAUGCACUAAUAAAAAUGAUUGUUAGUUGUAAGAAUUUGGGAUAUUUGCGUUUGCCAUACAAGACAGAACUUUUCGAAGAACCUUUUAUAAAUUUAUCGUAUUGUCUAAGUAAAAGUAGCAUCCGACCGGAGUCCCCAUUUGUGUUGUCUGUGUGCAGCAGGAGCGCAGUGGCCGAUAUAGAAGAAAAGUUGACGAAGCAUACUCAAAGCAAUUUGCUGCAAUUGGAUUGGAAUGGAAAUGUUUUUGCUUCCAAGCUCAAGGACCUAAUCGCUUCCUUAUGUCACACGGAAGCGAGCGCUGACGAUAAAAGGAUAUAUAAAAAUCCAGUCAAAGCUGCUGGUGAUCCUUCUGGUCCAGAGGAUAGUUGGUUGUCAAAUAUGAAUUAUAAGUUGGCUCUAACAGCAUGCUUUAAAAGAUUUAAUCUCGAAUAUGAAUUGGAACUUGUUAAUAGAUGCCGAGAUUUUGCCAUCAGCAAUGCUGAAUAUGAAUUAUCCAACAUGCAAUUCGCAUUUAAUUUUAAGUACGAUGCAAUAGAUGAACAAAAUGUGUAUCCAAAGGAACGUAACUAGAAUUCUAAUUGCAUUUAAUAAUUGCAUUAACAUAACGGUUCUGAGUUCAUCAA
Drosophila montana is the source of this 1718-nucleotide long non-coding RNA. RefSeq lists it as uncharacterized. The record is from RefSeq and is a predicted model, not a curated record. NCBI's taxonomy places the organism in Eukaryota, Metazoa, Arthropoda, Insecta, Diptera, Drosophilidae. The transcript has 4 exons.